Molecule: ribosomal RNA, 253 nt
Filed under: uncultured bacterium
Lineage: Bacteria
Description: partial 16S ribosomal RNA
Rfam family: Bacterial small subunit ribosomal RNA
Source: RNAcentral
UACGUAGGGUGCGAGCGUUGUCCGGAAUUACUGGGCGUAAAGGGCUCGUAGGCGGUCUGUCACGUCGGGAGUGAAAACUCAGGGCUUAACCCUGAGCCUGCUUCCGAUACGGGCAGACUAGAGGUAUGCAGGGGAGAACGGAAUUCCUGGUGUAGCGGUGAAAUGCGCAGAUAUCAGGAGGAACACCGGUGGCGAAGGCGGUUCUCUGGGCAUUACCUGACGCUGAGGAGCGAAAGUGUGGGGAGCGAACAGG